Long non-coding RNA from Microplitis demolitor, 2792 nucleotides. RefSeq lists it as uncharacterized. The record is from RefSeq and is a predicted model, not a curated record. The transcript has 4 exons. NCBI's taxonomy places the organism in Eukaryota, Metazoa, Arthropoda, Insecta, Hymenoptera, Braconidae.
AAUAUUUUAUUCAUUAAUUUAAAUUUAUUAAAAUUUUACUCUUUUAGAAAUUAAUAACUUCUGAAUAGAAAAAAAAUUGUGAAUAAAACUUUCUCAAAAAAUUUAAACUCCGGUACUAUUAUGUCAUUAGACAUCUAUUGAACAUGUUAUAUCCAUAAGAUAGUUUCAUUGAUAACAAGAUAACGUAUCUGUGAUGAUCUGCGUAAAAUGAUUUAACUAUACGGAGCAGUCAGACUUAGAUUGUCUAUAACAGCGUUAUUAUAAUAUUCAAUAUCAUGUCGUAAUAAAUAUUUCUAUUGCAUCUUCCUCUUAAUCGAGCCUAUUAACAGUUAAACCAAGUAUAGAGUAUACAUACAUACUUACUAUACAAAAACGUAACAUCAUAUUCAGAAGAUUGGAAAUAAAUAUUUUUUAUCCUAGUAAAUUCAAAAGUUUAAAUCAAGGAUGUUCAAGACAUUUAUUAUUGUUACUGCCGCUUGCAUAAUUAUUCAGUCGAAUCCAACAUCACAAGAAAAAAAUUUUCUCAUGCCCCCGAAAAUAAAAGUUUACAGUAACUCUGAAGAAUUUCGACAAAUGAAUAGAAGUUUACUUGAAUUAAUUUUAAAUGCAACAGAAAAUCAUCAAAAUCAAUUAUCCGAUUCAAUAAACCCAGCUUUGAUAACUAAAUUUGAUGAUUUUCAUGACAUGUUAACGCAAAAUUUAAAUUUGAAAAAAAAAGUAUCGUCAAGUUUCAAUUCAUUGAGUGACUAUGAAGAUCAAGAUGAAUAUUAAAGAAAAUAUUUAAUUACACGGAAAACAACACUUGUGACCAGCACCAUACGAUUUCCUGACUGUCACAAAACUCGUUUAGCUUUUUGGAAGUUGAGUAGAUUGGCGAUAAGUACAGCGGUAGCCAUGAUCAUAUCCAAAAUGUUACUAGGAUAAGUCGUUACGUUAAAACCAUGAAAUUUUAUCAGAUUACAAAAAUUUUCGUUAAUUAACUCUUUUCUAUCCAUGUUGAAUUUAAACUCAUGAAUUUCUAAAUCAUAUUAUCCCAGUGAACACAUGACCUUGUUUUAACGUAAUACGUAGGUCAUAGAAAUGUCACGGCAUCUUACGUACAUUUUAUGUCAAUCUGACGUUCUACAUGACUUUAAUAUGAUGUAAAAACUUGCGAUCAUAUUGAUGUAAGCAUGACUCUUGUAUGACGUCACAGUUAUGACUUAUGUGUUGCGUACGCUUGACAUCAUUUUGAUGUGAGCAUGACUCUUGUAUGACGUCACAGUUAUGACUUAUGUAUUACGUACGCUUGACAUCAAAUUUACACACAAAAAUCACAUUGUUACGAAGUAAUAAUGUCAUUAUUGUAUAUCAUAAUGACGUAAUUUAAAAAUCGUAUAUUUAUGUCAGUAGCAAAGUCACGGUUCUACGUAAUAUGGAUGUCACUCUUAAAUCAUAUCUUUACAUCAGUGACAAAUCAAUAUUUUAUGCAAUGCUGAUGUAAUUUCUGAGUCAUAGUGUUUUUAUCAUCUAUUUAUUAAAAUAAAACAAUCAUAGAAUGAAUUUUCCAUAAUGUGUAAAUGUGUAAAAAUAACAACUAAAUGUCGAAUUUUUUUGGGGCCAAAGUAAUCGAUAAACUCGAUAAUAGAUUUCAGACGUUUUAGAUUAAAACAUUAGCGUGAGCAUAAAAAAAAGUAACUUUAUUUUUUUAGAUGAUAUACCGAAAAUAUCAUUGAGGAUGAAAAAGAAAAUGUGACGACAGUUUGAACUUUUUUGAUAUUAAGAUUGUAAAGUGAAGUAUUGCAAUUUUUCAAUCGAUUUAAUUUCAUAAAUUUUUGUGAAAUUAUUCAAUGUUUCGCAAAAUUUUAUAUAAGAUUUUUUAAUUUCCAUAUCAUGACAGAAAAUUAAAAAAUUUGAAGAAACUUAAUAAAUUUUUAUAUAAUUUUUUAUAAUUAUCAUCGAGGCCGACAAAUAUUGUUUUUAUAAAAUCUCAUAUAAGUUUAUGGAGUUUUUUUAAAUUUUGUGAAAAUCCAUCACGAAAAUUUAUGAGCUCUGUCUUUACCGGCAUUUCACUCUAAAUACAUCUAUUAAGGACAAAACUUGAACUAUCGUGAUGUGGACCAGUGAUCAACGUUCAGGACUAUCAGCCAAGAGGAGCCGUGCUUCGAACCCAGCAGACGCCCAGGAUUUUUUCAUCAUUUACUGCUAUCAAUUCGUGUUUCUGAAUUUGUAAUGCGUUCGCGUGAUAAUAACCAAAUCAACAAUUCGGUAUUUAAUUUUUUCUUUUUUUUUUUAAAUAUUUUUUCCGGAUUGAUGAUUUUGACAUCACCCAUAUGUCAUACUGACGUCAUAGAAUGUCACACAGACAUCACAUUUACGUCAUAUAUACGUCAUUAGUUUUCCAUCAUAAUCUUACGUAAAAAAGUGGGAAAUAAUGAGUCACACCUGACUCAUUCGUGACUUAUAUCUUGCUAUUUUGAUAAAUUUUCAUAGAUUCUCUCUUACCAACAGAAGAUCAGUAUCUUUAACCGUUAGCGGAGCAACAGUUAAUAUUAACUUGUUGCCAAGUUAAAUGUAAUAGUUAUCCCUGAUAACACCCCUGAUAGCCAAGUUGGCGAGAAACUGACGAGAAACUUGCAGCCGCAACUGGAACCAAGUUGAUCGCCAACAGUUGGUACCUCCAAUAGUUGAUGGACAUUUUCUGAGAAAGUUGGUGGCAAAAGUUGUAAAUCCAAAAAGUUGACGAUCACUUUCUGAGAAAGUUGGUGGCAAAAGUUGCUUGCAAAAGUUGGUGAUCAUAAGUUGACGGUAAG